AGUGAACGCUGGCGGUAGGCCUAACACAUGCCAGUCGAACGGCAGCACAGGAGAGCUUGCUCUCUAGGUGGCGAGUGGCGGACGGGUGAGGAAUACAUCGGAAUCUGCCCAGUCGUGGGGGAUAACGUAGGGAAACUUACGCUAAUACCGCAUACGACCUUCGGGUGAAAGAGGGGGAUCGCAAGACCUCUCGCGAUUGGAUGAGCCGAUGUCGGAUUAGCUAGUUAGCGGGGCAAUGGCCCACCAAGGCGACGAUCCGUAGCUGGUCUGAGAGGAUGAUCAGCCACACUGGAACUGAGACACGGUCCAGACUCCUACGGGAGGCAGCAGUGGGGAAUAUUGGACAAUGGGCGCAAGCCUGAUCCAGCCAUACCGCGUGGGUGAAGAAGGCCUUCGGGUUGUAAAGCCCUUUUGUUGGGAAAGAAAUCUUUCAGGCUAAUACCCUGGGAGGAUGACGGUACCCAAAGAAUAAGCACCGGCUAACUUCGUG
This 490-nucleotide ribosomal RNA is filed under the name uncultured bacterium. RNAcentral describes it as "partial 16S ribosomal RNA". It matches the Rfam family "Bacterial small subunit ribosomal RNA", at positions 29 to 507 of the family's 1533-position model. The record is from RNAcentral.